UGUCGAGAAUGACGUUCCAGAU
Molecule: non-coding RNA, 22 nt
Filed under: Arabidopsis thaliana (thale cress)
Lineage: Eukaryota; Viridiplantae; Streptophyta; Magnoliopsida; Brassicales; Brassicaceae
Source: RNAcentral